Molecule: long non-coding RNA, 1055 nt
Filed under: Chloebia gouldiae (Gouldian finch)
Lineage: Eukaryota; Metazoa; Chordata; Aves; Passeriformes; Passeridae
Description: Erythrura gouldiae (Gouldian finch) lncRNA (ENSEGOG00005010917.1)
Source: RNAcentral
CAAAUAUCCCUGAUGUCCCCAAUGUCCCCAAAUAUCCCAAAUAUCCCCGAUGUCCCCAACGCUCCAAAUAUCCCAAAUAUCCCCAAUGUCCCCAAUGCUCUGAAUAUCCCAAAUAUCGCCGAUGUCCCCAAUGUCCCCAAAUAUCCCAAAUAUCCCCAAAUGUCCUCAAUGUCCCCAAAUAUCCCAAAUAUCCCAAAUAUCCCCGAUGUCCCCAAUGCUCCAAAUAUCCCAAAUAUCCCCAAUGUCCCCAAAUAUCCCAAAUAUCCCAAAUAUCCCCAAUAUCCUCAAUGUCCCCAAAUAUCCCAAAUAUCCCCAAUGUCCCCAAAUAUCCCAAAUAUCCCAAAUAUCCCCAAUAUCCUCAAUGUCCCCAAAUAUCCCAAAUAUCCCAAACACCCAGAAAUGUCCCCAGUGUCCCCAACGCUCCCCAUGCUCCCAGUGCCCCGAGUGUCCCCGAUGUCCCCAUAUGUCCCCGAUGUCCCUAAUGCCUCCCAAUGCCCCCAGUUCCCCCAACACCGCCCCGGUCCCCGAUGUCCCCAAACCCCUGUGCCUGUCCCCGACCUUCCUCGACGCCGGUGACGAUGGAGGCGAAGUUGUCGUCCAGCAGGAUCAUGUCGGCCGCCUGCUUGGACACGUCCGAGCCGGCGAUGCCCAUGGCGAUCCCAAUGUCCGCCUUCUUCAGCGCCGGCGAGUCGUUGACGCCGUCACCCGUCACUGCCACGAUGGCGCCCUGGGGACAUUGGGGACAUUGGGGACACUGGGGACACUGGGGGUAUUGAGGGUUUUGGGGACACUGGGGACAUUGAGGGCUUUUGGGACAUUGGGGACACUGGGGACACCAGGGGCUUUGGGGACACUGGGGACACUGGGGGCUUUGGGAAUUUGGGGAACACAGGAUAUUGGGGACACUGGGGACAAUGGGAACAUUGGUGGUUUUGGGGACACUGGAGACAUUGGGGGCUUUGGGGACAUUGGGGACACUUGGGGAUAUUGGGGACACUGGGGACACUGGAGACAUUGGGGGCUUUGGGGACAUUGAGGGCUUUGGGGACAUUGGG